AGAGUUUGAUCCUGGCUCAGGACGAACGCUGGCGGCGUGCCUAAUACAUGCAAGUCGAACGCACUCUCGUUUAGAUUGAAGGAGCUUGCUCCUGAUUGAUAAACAUUUGAGUGAGUGGCGGACGGGUGAGUAACACGUGGGUAACCUGCCCUAAAGUGGGGGAUAACAUUUGGAAACAGAUGCUAAUACCGCAUAAAACCUAACACCGCAUGGUGUAGGGUUGAAAGAUGGUUUCGGCUAUCACUUUAGGAUGGACCCGCGGUGCAUUAGUUAGUUGGUGAGGUAAAGGCUCACCAAGACCGUGAUGCAUAGCCGACCUGAGAGGGUAAUCGGCCACACUGGGACUGAGACACGGCCCAGACUCCUACGGGAGGCAGCAGUAGGGAAUCUUCCACAAUGGACGAAAGUCUGAUGGAGCAACGCCGCGUGAGUGAAGAAGGUUUUCGGAUCGUAAAACUCUGUUGUUGGAGAAGAAUGUAUCUGAUAGUAACUGAUCAGGUAGUGACGGUAUCCAACCAGAAAGCCACGGCUAACUACGUGCCAGCAGCCGCGGUGAUACGUAGGUGGCAAGCGUUGUCCGGAUUUAUUGGGCGUAAAGCGAGCGCAGGCGGUUUCUUAAGUCUGAUGUGAAAGCCUUCGGCUCAACCGAAGAAGUGCAUCGGAAACUGGGAAACUUGAGUGCAGAAGAGGACAGUGGAACUCCAUGUGUAGCGGUGAAAUGCGUAGAUAUAUGGAAGAACACCAGUGGCGAAGGCGGCUGUCUGGUCUGUAACUGACGCUGAGGCUCGAAAGCAUGGGUAGCAAACAGGAUUAGAUACCCUGGUAGUCCAUGCCGUAAACGAUGAGU
This 847-nucleotide ribosomal RNA is filed under the name uncultured bacterium. Its description in RNAcentral is "bacterial SSU rRNA". It matches the Rfam family "Bacterial small subunit ribosomal RNA", at positions 8 to 814 of the family's 1533-position model. The record is from RNAcentral.